AUAUUGGACAAUGGGGGCAACCCUGAUCCAGCCAUGCCGCGUGUGUGAAGAAGGUCUUCGGAUUGUAAAGCACUUUAAGUUGGGAGGAAGGGCUUUAGGCUAAUACCCUGAAGUUGUGACGUUACAAACAGAAUAAGCACCGUCUAACUCUGUGCCAGCAGCCGCGGUAAUACAGAGGGAGCAAGCGUUAAUCGGAAUUACUGGGGGUAAAGCGUGCGUAGGUGGUUCAGGAAGAUGGGGGUGAAAUCCCCGGGCUUAACCUGGGAACUGCUUUCAUAACUGCUGAGCUAGAGUACGGUAGAGGGUAGUGGAAUUUCCUGUGUAGCGGUGAAAUGCGUAGAUAUAGGAAGGAAAACCAGUGGCGAAGGCGACUACCUGGACUGAUACUGACACUGAGGUGCGAAAGCGUGGGGAGCAAACA
This 421-nucleotide ribosomal RNA is filed under the name uncultured bacterium. Its description in RNAcentral is "partial 16S ribosomal RNA". It matches the Rfam family "Bacterial small subunit ribosomal RNA", at positions 361 to 774 of the family's 1533-position model. The record is from RNAcentral.